UGUCCACUAAUUAUGGACCUGUAUGAAAGGCCACAUGAGAAUCUAACUGUCUCUUGUAACUAAUUUAUAAAACUGAUCUUCUAGUCCAAAAGCUAGAAUACCCAUAUAAGACGAGAAGACCCUGUGAAGCUUUAAAAACCCCAUUAAACCUGUUAAUGGGUAUUUUUAGUUGGGGCAACUUUGGAAAACAAUUUAACUUCCAAACAAGGAAAAACAACACCCACCAAGACCCACAAGUCAACCAAGACCCAGUAUAACUGAUAAAUGAACCAAGUUACUCCAGGGAUAACAGCGCAAUCUUCUUCAAGAGCCCAUAUCAAAAAGAAGGUUUACGACCUCGAUGUUGGAUCAGGACACCCAAAUGGCGCACGCUAUUAAAGGUUCGUUUGUUCAACGAUUAACAGU
This 405-nucleotide ribosomal RNA is filed under the name Typhlops lumbricalis. RNAcentral's name for it is "partial 16S ribosomal RNA". It matches the Rfam family "Bacterial large subunit ribosomal RNA", at positions 1970 to 2594 of the family's 2925-position model. Lineage: Eukaryota; Metazoa; Chordata; Lepidosauria; Squamata; Typhlopidae. The record is from RNAcentral.